AGAUGUGUGAGGAGAGACACCAAAAAGCAGAGCUCUGCAGGGACUCUUGCCAGAGACUGGGUGGAAGCAGUAGGGGCUGCUGGCUCUUCCCAGGCUGAGCCCAUGGAGGGAUGGCACAGCUUGAUAAAUGCCUGCAGACACACUACGAGCGUGGGCAGCAGUGUGGGAGGGAAACAAGAGCCUUUUUGUGGGUACCAGAUAGAGAGCUGAUGGUAGGCUGCAAUAUCUGGUCAGGCAGAGCUCAGAGCAAAUGCCUGCUUGCAUAGUGUCCUGUUGCCUCCAGGGAUGACAGUGUCUCUAUCCAUCACUUUCUGAGUUCUGCAGGAUUAAGAGAUGCUCCUGGUGAAGGAAAUUGGACCAGCUGGGUGCUACUUACUGUGCUUUGAUGGUUUUAGUCAGUGUGCCAGGGUGAGAAGGAAGAAAGGGACCCAGGAAACUCAACUGCUGUGAAUUUUGCAUGGACCUCUGUGUUCAGGUAUGUUCUGCAUCUUGGAAGGAGGAGUGGAUGGAGAGGAUUCAGCAGAGCAAACCAACAGCAAACAGGUCACUGCAACACUCCUGGCUGCCAACGGAGCCAAGAAAAAAAGAACCACCACAAUCUAGAGAGGCUGGAAAAAGGCCCAUGUAAUCCUUUCUCAGUGGGACACAAGAAGAAACAGAAAUCAAAGCCUCUGGACACAGUUUCCCCAACUCAGCUUCUGGAGCCUGGAUCAGCAGUUUUCAGAGGAUAGAAAAGGAAGCUUGAGUUAUGCUCCUCUUUCUGUGCAUGGAAAUAAUAAAAUGAAGGGUAAAGCCAAGCAUCAGUCAUACAGCAAACUGCAAACUGGCAGCAUUUCCCAGAAAUUGAAGCAAAUGCAAAAUACUUUGGUUUUGGGGUUAAGUACGUGUCACUUAGAUAUAAAUUCUGCCAUGUGCACCAUUUGUUAAAGCCUCUGUCACACAAACCCAGCUCUUUUCCAGCACAUGCUCACAGCAGGGCUGAGGUACUUAACAGCUUCUAACAAGGACAAUUUACCUGGUGGGAUGUAGCCUAGUGAAUUGCAAGACCUACUUUAUGGAAUAAGCCACAGAGCACAUGAAGUAUCGAUGUGAAGGGCACACGCAGCACGUCAGGAGUCAGCACACAGGUUCCCUUUUAAGGCAGUAUGGCACUGGACCAAAAUAAAAUGAUGGUUUUCCUCCAUGAGAGGAGCAACACAGAGAGAGAGAAUUUUUCUUUGCCUUCCUCCAUGACUAAAGCUCUCAGACCCACGGUCCUCCCUUGCUGUAUGAGGGAAAAGGUGCCAUGCAGAGCUCCAGGUGACAGUGACCCUUCUCCUCCAAGGGUGCAAGGGCCGUCCUGUCCCAGGCUCCCCCUGUGGGAUCAUUCUGUCUCUCAGCACAUUUGGCCAAAGCAGGUUCAAACUCCACAACUAUAGAAACAUCCACCCUAGUCACAAGGAUAGUAAACAGUCUUUCAUUUCCAGCUUGGUUUUUUGGAUUCACUCCCAUUCUUAUACCCACGCAGAAAAAGAGCUCUUGUGCUUCACAUUCUGAAUGUGUGAUCCUUGGCCUCAUAGCUGUCACAUGGACAUUUUUGUGCUCAAGAAGCUGCUCCUAGGAUGCUAUUUGAUGCCAAGGAACUCUAAGUUUAACCUGAAGAAGAUCUCUAUGUGAAAGAGGUGGAAAAUUCCUGUAGAAGAAACUAAAAGUAAUUUUUUUCCUCCUAACUGACUCCUAGCUGAAGCAUCUCUUGGGCAGCCAGUUCCAACAUGCAAAGCUAUGUCCAAAAAAAUAAUAAAUCCUAGGAAUGACAAUGGGCUUAGAAACCUGCUUGGUGCACGAAGCAGAUAACUAGUGUUCACUUAUACCACAGAAGGUGACAUACUUUGGUGUUUUAGUUGCCUGUGGUGUUGCUAUAAUCAGUUUUCCCUCUGCAGGGAAAAAAAUUAAAGUAUUUCUGUGGAAUAGCUUUUUCUCCAAAAGCAGAGGAAAGCAAGCAAGCGUUCAGAAAUGUAGCCUGGGGGGCAGCAUGAGUGCUUCUGACAGUGCUAAGAACAAAGACAUUGUAAACUACAAAGCUCUUCACUUGGUAUCAGUAUUCCUGCCAGAAACCCUCUGGAUUUACCUGUAAGCAGUAAUUACAGUAUGGGAAAGGAUGUGUUUAUUCCGCUGUAUACCUGACCAGAUAGAAAGGAGCCCAGCUCUGGAAACAUCUCACAAGUACAUUUAUUAGUCAGGACCAAUCUGUCUCAAAGCAUGACGCAUUUCAUACCCCAAAUGGCAUUUCAUUACAGUGCAGCUGCACAAGCCUCUGUUCUCCCUGACCAGAUCCUUGAUUUGCCAGGGCAGAGGGUAGCACAGCCCUUAUUUACACACAUCGCUUCCUGGAUUUGUUUAGGUUUGAGCACAGGAGUUCAAGAGAAGUCUUUGGUUUUGUCCUAAUCAUUUGAAAAGCUUCUUUCUUUUCUUUCUCCACUGUUUAUUGUCCCCAUCUUCAGUAUCAUCAGGAGGGUCUGGCAUUACAAAGCCAUCAGUCAUUUUAUAAUAGACUAUUGUGGAAUCUGUCUCAACUAUGGCCAAGGUAACUGACAGCGGGGUGUCAGGAUCCUCUGGAGGGAGAGAGGCUUCUUUCAGUAUUUCCCUUAACCUAGAAAAAGAAAAAAAUUCAGUUAGAAAGGAGUCCACAACCACCUGUGAUGGCACAAAGGCAGAAGUGCACAAUUGCUAUUUUUAUUCAGCCUAGUUUUAUUCUGCAAACUUGUCUCCACUAAAGAAAACAUCGUAUCUGUUCUAAUAAAAUCCCAAAUUCAUAUAAUCAAGAAACAAUAGAAAAUAACAGAGAAUCUUAUACAAAUAUACCGGUUUCAUACAUUUCUGCUGGAAAUGGCACAACACACACUUCUAAGCUUUCCUUAGGUGCAUUCCUGUGCACGUGCCUCAGCCAUCCUUCAACUACCACAAUCCUAGCAUGGCAAUCUCUAAUGGCCCUGUUUUCAUUAGGCUAAAAUAAAAAAUCUAAUUAAAUAACACCUGGUGUUCAAUUAGAGAACUAAAUAAUUAAGACUUGAUCCAUCUGUAGAGGCAAGUCUUCCAGUCUCUGUGCCACAGUUCUCUGCCAGACUGUGGAAGACCCAGGAGCCCAAGCCAGGUUUCUCUACCUCCCUGUCUAGACUAGAAGCCACAAGACUAAUGUCCUUCAGGACAGUCAGCAUAAAUAAUGUCUGCUUUAAAAAUUCAAGACGAAGUUAUGCAAUUUUUCCUGUUUAGCUUAUUUUAAGAGUAAUAUGGCAGUUACUUUUCGGUUCAGAGCUGAGGACAACAUUGAUCCCUGGAGUCUUUAGAUUCCUGGCACGACUGGGGAACAAGUACUGAGGAAGAGUGGUGCCCAGGGGCAGAACAAUAAAAAACCCCACCCCGAGAUUUCCACAGGAAGCUUCCUCCUUCAUCCAGAGGGCUUGUCUGGAAUUGCUGGAAGAGGUUAUGCUCUGGGAACAGGUCAGCUACGCACUGGGAAAAACCACCCUCGCUUCACGUGCCCUGGAGAUCUCCCCCACCAGAAGACAUGCAUUUCUGAAGCUGGACACUGCAGCUGAAAAUAAGGCUCUUUCUAAAUGCAUCAGCUUUCAAACUUUAAUCAUCAUCUUCCUUCGAAACCUCUUUGAUCCCUUAAUAAAAGCCAAAUGGAAGGCGGCAGAGAAUAAAGAGCAGCCUGGAAAGCCUGCAUUGUUAAGCCCGUGACCUUCUUAAGAUCCAUCUGUGUUCUGAACUGUGCAUAAUUCGGCCUGGCUAAAUCCAGGACUGCCUUGCCUUUUGCUUUCACCACUGGCCCACACAUAAAGCAAGGCAAUACAAUAUAGGCAGUGAUUGCAUGCAACAGGGAUACUGUGGCUGUGAAAAGCUACAGUCUGGCUCUCCUACAACAGCACACUUCAUAACAACUGAACAAAUAAGGUAAGAAAGACUGUACUGUACUGGCCACCUGGGCACCUUCUGCUCCUGUCACUUCCAGCCCCUGUUCAGGGGUACACAGCAAGAAUCCACUUGUCACACACGGAGUCAUGGAAUGAUUUGGGUUGGCAGUGACCUUAAAGGUAAUCCAGUUCCAACACCCCUGCCGUGGGCAGGGACACCUUCCACUAUCCCAGGUCACUCCAAGCCCCAUCCAACCUGGCCUUGGACACUUCCAGGGAUCCAGGGGCAGCCACAGCUUCUCUGGGCAACCAGGGCCCAGUGCCAGGGCCUCCCCACCCUCACACCUCACCACCAAGUGUCUGGAGGAAGCUCUGAAUAAAUUGGUGAGGCCAGACAACUGGCAGAGACCCACUGAGGAAAGAACUAUCCAUGGUUUUUAGGAAGCAAUGGAUAUUAAUCUCUCUCCUUCUCCUGGGAACAUGAUAAAGAAUUAACAAUAAAAGACCCAAUAAGAGGACACAGCUACCCACAAAAGAUAUUUUGGGAGCCAAAGAAACCAAACUGGUGUUGAGUGUGGACAGUCCCAUAUCUGGGAGCAGACUCAGGCAGUGUCUGUAUUCACCUGUCAGCCAGGGCUGAAGUUCCUUCCUAUUUUCUUUAGUACUUAUCACCAUUUCUCCUCCUAGUCUACUGGGGGAUGGAUGGAACACUGAGGCCUUAGAUCUAGAUUUCUGAUCAUUCAUGAUUUCUCCUUACACUGCAAGAUAAACUCCUUAUACCAAGCACCAACAUCUGCACCUUUAUUUGCCCCCAUUUAGAAGAUGCACCAUGACCCAAACGCGGCCAGGUCCUGAUAACAGAUUAACCACGUUUCUUUGCAUCCCUGACUUACUUUUCAGGAGACCAAGUUCCAGGGUUCAUGUAAAGGGUACAAAGCCAUGCCACUGCCUCAGGAUGAUCUGCUAAGUGCUGUCCCCAGAGUCCAGUGCUUUCCACUGCACAUGGGGAAUCAGCUGCUAUCGCCAUAAGGAAUUACAACUGCUAAUGCAGUUUUCCUCUUUCCCAUUCUCUCAAACAGGCAACCCAAACCAAGAGCUCUCAUUUGUGCAUACCACAACCAGCAUAAUGCAAUGCAGCACAUCUGCAGACUGGUGAGAGGGUAUCUUUUAGAAGAAUAAGCUUUGGAAUUCAGGAAGUCUGUAUCAGAUGCCGCUGUCCCUUCCUCUCCUCCCCUGAAGGCAUCACCGUCAGCCUCUGUGUCCAGCGUGUUCACAACAUUUCUCUGCACCAGCAGACAUUUCAAAGGAGUCAGAGAACAUCUGGGUUCUGAUUUCAGUGCACUUGCUACCUGCCAUAAACAGGAAGAUGAAAUAUUGCAGGAAUGGUAUAGCUUUUUGAUGUAUCUAACACCGUUUAGGGGGAAAAAAAGGCAAGAAGUGUUGUUGGCCUCCUGAAAUUCAAAGAAUGCAAGUUUGACCUUCUAAACAAGGCAAGAAGCCUUUAAUUUAAGAGAUACAGCUCUCAAGGCUGCCCACCUCACACAACAGUUGUAUUCAAUGACUGAAAUGAAGCCCUAGACAAGAAGCCGGUGUGUUAACACCCCCAACAGAGCCAACUGAUUUCAGUUACAAGUUCAUGGUUAUAAAUAAGCUCCUUAAUGACCAGUACACCUGCUGUACCAUACAGGUGAUGUCAGUUAUAAAAGACGGGGUUUGCUUUAAUAAAAGUUGAUUUAAUGUUUCUGAAAAUGUCAAACAUGAGAAGCCUCUGGAACAGAGGAAACCAAUACAUCCAGCAGAAUGUACCAUGUCACUUUGUCACCUCCUGAGGGACACAAUACUCCAUCACCUGAGCACGUGUUCAUCCAUAGGCUCAGCCUGGCUAGGGAGAUCAGGGGCAGUCAACCCUAUCCAUGCCAACUUCUCAGGAUUUAUGACAAUAACUACCUGGUUGGGGGGGAAAAAAAAAAAUCUAGAGCCCCAGGAGAGCACACAGAACAAUCAGUCAUGAAUGUUCCUGCAAUGCACAGGGAGAAGUCUGAGCUAAAAUACCCUGCCAACCACUCCUUUCCCUUCUCUCUCCCUCCUCAGGAAGAAAAGCCAAGUAAAGUGAGUAAGUUCAGAAGUUCCAGAAGUUUCAGGUUUCCCACACAAAAAGGUAAGCCUUGAACAAAGGCACCGUGAAAGGAAAAUAACAUAUAGAAGCUAGGGGAAUACAGACAUCAUAAGAAUUACUGGAAAAGUCUUAUUUAAGUCCCAUAAGUAGAAUAAGAUUAAGUAUUUUUUAAUAAGUAUUCUCAUCUGUUACAGAUCAUGCAGUCCAAGGCUUCCAAUAUAGCCUAAAAACCCAUUUCUAAAGACUGAUGGUGCCUCCAUGUUCACUACAAUCCAGAAUCUGCUCCCAAAAAGCCAAAUGCAAGCAGGACAAAGCCCUCAUUUUUCACCCGGGAAGCAAACUCACAUUCACCUCACAUUGCAGAAGAUGCAAAGGAGUUCACCUCACACAGUGAAGGGGACACUUAUCCAAAGUAAAGAGCUGGCAUUUCUAAAGCACUUUGCAUCAGAAAAAGGGCUUGGAAAAGCUUUUCUAGAAAACUACAAACUACUGUCAAUAGAGGUUGCUUUUUUCCUACCAAAGGAUUAGUCUUAAGAGCAAGUGUAACUUACUUAACAUCAUGCAAGGACCACUCAAGUGAAUGUAACAGCACUGUAAAUGUUACCUGUAUCUGCCUUUACUAAAUGGCAACAGUGAGCUUACCUGGUCUUCUAUUACUGUUGUAAUUAAUACCUUAAAACCAAACCAAAACCCAACAACAAAACAAAGAAAUCCAUACCAAUCCAUCCAAAGAGAUGAGAGGAAUUUUCCAUCUUUCCCCUAUCUUGGUACUAAAGUAGGCCUUCAACACCCAUCAGAAAUCUGUGCUGUCUCUCCUAAUGAUCUGCUCCUAAGAAAACACUGCCCUUCUCUCCCCAGAGAAAGAACCAGGUGUACAGCUGGGGACUCUGAGGCAGCUGUAGCUUGAGGUUUCAAAUCACUGCCCAAAAACUAAGAAGAGAAUCAUAAAGGAAAGACAGCACAAGCAGAAAGUUUUGUGAUGAACAAAAGAGCAUUUCAUUGCCACAUCCCAUGCAAGCACCUCUGAGAAGCAGCGUAACACUGAAAGCUCAGAGCAGUUUUAUGGAGGUUGCAUAGUGCUCCAUUGAGUUGAAAUGGAACUACUGCCUUCCAUCCCAUAAAAGCCAAAGGCUUUCAAUCUGCCCUUUAUACUUGGAUGAAUAAUUCAUUGCAGGCUUGGCCAGCCCCAACCGCUCCCUCCCCUCCACCCAAGGCAGGGCUGCAGAGUCAACACAAGUUGGUCUCUGUGCCACUAGCAGAGAUCAUUACUCGGUGCACUGGAGCAUGCCAUUGUACCACACUGGGUCAGCACCAAGCAGGGGAAACCUCCCAGGAAGCACAAUUCCUUGAAUUUAGCCAGCACAGCUCCCCAUCAGGAACGCUGCUCCAGGCCCAGCUGCAGGGGAGGCAGCAAGAUUAACCCAGUGCCUUGAAAGAUGUGAGAAGGAGCACAUGGUGGUGGGAGAAGGUGUAAAAGGACACCACUAUUCCUUGGGGCUUGUUUCCAGAUUACAGGAAUGGGGAAUGCUAGAAGAAACUCAGCUUUUUGUAAUUGGAAAAAAAAACCUACAAAGCAAAGCAAACACCAUGUUCACACUGGUCAGGAAAAGGAGUUGAAACCCUGAGGAAUAUAAAGACUUUUUCUCCACGGAAGUUGAAGACAAACCACGCAAAAUGGAGGAAUCAGAAUUCAGCAAAGUCCUACAAGACACACCAACUACAGCACAUUCACUCACAACACUGUAUAACCAACUCUGCUGUAAGAGGCACAUCGAUCCCAAAUAAAAUACUAAUAAAGAGUCUGCAUUUAGGAGCCUUUAA
Molecule: long non-coding RNA, 7830 nt
Organism: Pseudopipra pipra
Lineage: Eukaryota; Metazoa; Chordata; Aves; Passeriformes; Pipridae
Exons: 3
Source: RefSeq, a predicted model, not a curated record